RNAcentral lists this long non-coding RNA (779 nucleotides) under Ricinus communis (castor bean). RNAcentral describes it as "long non-coding RNA (RCOM_LNC000546)". The record is from RNAcentral. Lineage: Eukaryota; Viridiplantae; Streptophyta; Magnoliopsida; Malpighiales; Euphorbiaceae.
AGGCGGAGAGGGAGGAGGUGGUGGUGAAUAAACUGGUGGAGGGGGGGGAGAAUAGACAGGAUGUGGCGGCGGGGGUGGUGAUAAGUAGGGAUAGAUAGGUGGUGGAGGGGAAUGUGGGGGUGGAGGUGGUGAGUGUGGUGGUGAAGGUGGUGGAGGGGAAUGUGGGGGUGGAGGUGGUGAGUGUGGUGGUGAAGGUGGUGGUGGUGAGCUGUAAUAGUAAGGAGUUGGUGGUGGUGGAGAGAAUAAUGGCGGUGGAGGUGGUGGGGAGUUUGGUGGUGGCGGUGGUGGGGGACGUACACAGGGUGGCAAGGGUGAGGGCGGUGGUGGAGAUGGUGGUGGAGGAGAUGGAGGAGGAGGCGGAGGUGAAUAUACUGGUGGUGGAGGAGAAGGCGGUGGUGGAGAAGGUGGUGGAGGAGGUGAGUAUACUGGUGGGGGUGGCGGUGGGGGGGAAGGUGGAGGCGGAGGAGGUGAAUAUACCGGCGGUGGUGGAGGAGGUGAAUAUACUGGCGGUGGUGGUGGAGGAGGUGAAUAUACUGGUGGCGGAGGUGAAGGUGGAGGUGGAGGCGGCGAGUACACAGGGGGUGGGGGAGGUGGAGAGUAAACAGGUGGAGGCAAGUAAACAGGAGGAGAAGGCACUGGCAUUGGUGGUGAAGGUGGAGGAGGAGCAGGCAAAGUAGGAACAAAAGGCUUACAUCUAAAAGAGCUACAAUCAACAGGCUUAAACGGCCUGCAUUGGGCUGCAGAUCUCUGUGACGGCCUACCUGCCAAGCAAUUCUUCG